AAUUUUGGACAAUGGGCGAAAGCCUGAUCCAGCCAUGCCGCGUGUGUGAAGAAGGUCUUCGGAUUGUAAAGCACUUUAAGUUGGGAGGAAGGGUUGUAGAUUAAUACUCUGCAAUUUUGACGUUACCGACAGAAUAAGCACCGGCUAACUUCGUGCCAGCAGCCCCGGUAAUACGAAGGGUGCAAGCGUUAAUCGGAAUUACGGGGCGUAAAGGGGGCGAAGUGGGUUCGUGAAGUGGGAUGUGAAAGCCCCGGGCUCAACUUGGAAACGGAAUCCAAAACUGGGGAGCAGGGGUACGGUAGAGGGUGGGGAAAUUUCCUGUGUAGCGGUGAAAUGCGUAGAUAAGGGAAGGAACACAAGUGGCAAAGGGAACCACCUGGACUGUUACUACCACUGGGGUGCAAAAGCGUGGGAGCAAACAGG
This 423-nucleotide ribosomal RNA is filed under the name uncultured bacterium. RNAcentral describes it as "partial 16S ribosomal RNA". It matches the Rfam family "Bacterial small subunit ribosomal RNA", at positions 360 to 776 of the family's 1533-position model. The record is from RNAcentral.